This 301-nucleotide ribosomal RNA is filed under the name uncultured bacterium. RNAcentral's name for it is "partial 16S ribosomal RNA". It matches the Rfam family "Bacterial small subunit ribosomal RNA", at positions 509 to 807 of the family's 1533-position model. The record is from RNAcentral.
CAGUAGCCACGGGAAUACGAAGGGUGCAAGCGUUAAUCGGAAUUACUGGGCGUAAAGCGUGCGUAGGCGGUUUGUUAAGUCUGUUGUGAAAUCCCCGGGCUCAACCUGGGAAUGGCAAUGGAUACUGGCAAGCUAGAGUGUGUCAGAGGAUGGUGGAAUUCCCGGUGUAGCGGUGAAAUGCGUAGAGAUCGGGAGGAACAUCAGUGGCGAAGGCGGCCAUCUGGGACAACACUGACGCUGAGGCACGAAAGCGUGGAGAGCAAACAGGAUUAGAUACCCCAGUAGUCCCUGUCUCUUAUAC